This 92-nucleotide transfer RNA is filed under the name Perca fluviatilis (European perch). It matches the Rfam family "tRNA". Rfam says of the family: Transfer RNA (tRNA) molecules are approximately 80 nucleotides in length. Their secondary structure includes four short double-helical elements and three loops (D, anti-codon, and T loops). The record is from Rfam by way of RNAcentral. Lineage: Eukaryota; Metazoa; Chordata; Actinopteri; Perciformes; Percidae.
GGCUCUGUGGCGCAAUGGACAGCGCAUUGGACUUCUAGCUGAACACUGGAGGAGUUAUUCAAAGGUUGUGGGUUCGAGUCCCACCAGAGUCG